RNAcentral lists this ribosomal RNA (397 nucleotides) under uncultured bacterium. RNAcentral describes it as "bacterial SSU rRNA". It matches the Rfam family "Bacterial small subunit ribosomal RNA", at positions 28 to 424 of the family's 1533-position model. The record is from RNAcentral.
GACGAACGCUGGCGGCGUGCCUGACACAUGCAAGUCGAACGAGGUCCAUCCUUCGGGAGAAGACCUAGUGGCGAACGGGUGAGUAACACGUGAAGAACCUGCCCCGAAGACCGGGAUAACCCUCCGAAAAGGAGAGCUAAUACCGGAUACCCCACCGAACCGCAUGGUUGGUGAGGAAAUGGAUUCCGCCUCGGGAGGGCUUCGCGGCCUAUCAGCUAGUUGGUGGGGUAACGGCCCACCCAAGGCAUCGACGGGUAGCUGGUCUGAGAGGACGAUCAGCCACACUGGGACCGAGACACGGCCCAGACUCCUACGGGAGGCAGCAGUGGGGAAUCUUGCGCAAUGGGCGAAAGCCUGACGCAGCAACGCCGGCGUGGGGGAUGAAGGCUCUCGGGUU